This 382-nucleotide ribosomal RNA is filed under the name uncultured soil bacterium. Its description in RNAcentral is "bacterial SSU rRNA". It matches the Rfam family "Bacterial small subunit ribosomal RNA", at positions 26 to 403 of the family's 1533-position model. The record is from RNAcentral.
AGAUUGAACGCUGGCGGAAUGCUUUACACAUGCAAGUCGAACGGCAGCACGGGGGCAACCCUGGUGGCGAGUGGCGAACGGGUGAGUAAUACAUCGGAACGUGCCCAGUCGUGGGGGAUAACGCAGCGAAAGCUGUGCUAAUACCGCAUACGAUCUACGGAUGAAAGCGGGGGAUCGCAAGACCUCGCGCGAUUGGAGCGGCCGAUGGCAGAUUAGGUAGUUGGUGGGGUAAAGGCUCACCAAGCCUGCGAUCUGUAGCUGGUCUGAGAGGACGACCAGCCACACGUGGGACUGACGACGACGGCCCAGACCUCCGUACGGGAGCAGCGAGGUGGGAAUUUGGACAAGUGGGACAAGCCUGACUCCGAGCCAGUUCCGCGGU